CUUUUUCCGCACGUUUGCCAUAGUUUGAGAAUGAGAAAUGAGUAACCGUAUACAGACCAAUCGUUCUCUCUCCCAUCUCAAUGCCAAAAUCUCCACCCUCAAAAUUAUUCGUUAUCCACUGCUGCCUGCCUGAUAUUCAAUUUCUUCGUCUUCCUUCCUUUAAUCAUUAAACAUGCAACACACAGGUAAACAUCAUCCUUUCAAUUGACAAUAGAAGGAAAUCAAACGCAAUCUUUUGUGGGUCUCGAUGCACCAAGAAGAGGAAGGCAGGCAGGAUUCUCCACCAACAGAUCCUAAGAGUUGGUAUCUAUUUUGAUUGAACGGGAAUAACGAUAGAGAUAAUAGUGGUCGUGUAAUUAUACUUCAAAUCAAGGGAUUCGCACACGGUGCAAAGUGCUGCUGAUAUCAGUCUACAUUUUAAUAAUCAAAUAGUCAAAAUAUGGAGCGUUCCAGGAAUUUAGAGGAUUGUGUUCGUCAUUCAAGUGAUGGAAGCGCGAGGAUGUGGUUGAAGCUCAACAUAGGAAUUCAGCCAGUGAAGAUUCAACAUUUUUGUUUAUGAAAGACAAACAUUGCAAUUUGUACAGAUACAAAGAAAAUUGCCAACUAAAUUGGGCGGUGGAUUUAUGAGAGACAGGAGCAACAUUCUUAGUCAGAUGGUAGAUUUUUCUUUCACAAGAACAAUUCACUUAAUAUAAGCACCGUGUCUGAUGCUAAACCUAUUUUUAGCUCACAUCAGUAAAUUAUGUACAAACCCUCCCGAUUCAUAUAUCGAACCUGUUUUUGGUGGAGUUGCUCCUUAGUUUCUAGCUGAUUCCUACCAACCGAAAGAAUACUAUCAUGUAAAUUUUUCUGACAAGCGAGAUCUAGAUUCAUCUACAAUCCUUUAAAUACCAAAUUAUAUACUAGGAAUUUAAAAUACAGAAGAACGAGAAGAAUCAGAUAAUGGUUGGUGUUUCUUACACUAUGUUUGGUGUGCUAUGGUGGAUUUUUUUCCUUGGUAAAAGGUGGCUUCAGAUGGAGUUCAGCAAAGGAACACUCUUUUAAGGGUAAAUACUUUGUUCUAGGGGUUUGGCACACCAUUGUUAAAAUUUUAAAGAAUCCAUCCUUGAAGCUAAGGCGUAGAGAAAAAAAUUUAGAUAUGAAACGAAGUGGCAAGAAUGAAACCUUGCGGAGACUUCGAAAUUGGGAAUUGAAAUGCAGUCGUUGGCUGAGAUUUUGUUUGUUCGCCUAGAUUUUUCUUUCACAGUUGAAAGCACUAUUUGACUUUUCCUUGGUAAAAGGUGGUUUCAGAUGGAGUUCAGCAAAGGAACACUCUUGUAAGUGUAAAUACUUUGUUCUAGGGGUUUGGCAUACCAUUGUUAAAAUACUUUUAAGGGUAAAUACUUUUUCGUACAUGGUUAUCGUUUUUUUGAAGUUU
Papaver somniferum (opium poppy) is the source of this 1417-nucleotide long non-coding RNA. RefSeq lists it as uncharacterized. The record is from RefSeq and is a predicted model, not a curated record. NCBI's taxonomy places the organism in Eukaryota, Viridiplantae, Streptophyta, Magnoliopsida, Ranunculales, Papaveraceae. The transcript has 5 exons.